RNAcentral lists this ribosomal RNA (461 nucleotides) under uncultured bacterium. Its description in RNAcentral is "partial 16S ribosomal RNA". It matches the Rfam family "Bacterial small subunit ribosomal RNA", at positions 29 to 507 of the family's 1533-position model. The record is from RNAcentral.
AUGCACGCUGACAGAAUGCUUAACACAUGCCAGUCUUUGGCGAAGCUGUGCUUGCACAGCCUAGCCAAGGCGGACGGGUGAGUAACGCGUAAGGAACUUGCCCUGCAGUCAGGGAUAACAGACGGAAACGACUGAUAAGACCUGGUAAAGUCAGGCGGACUCAUGUCCAGCCUGAUGAAAAGAGAUGCUGCAGGAGAGCCUUGCGUCCUAUUAGCUUGUUGGUGGGGUAACGGCCCACCAAGGCGAUGAUAGGUAGCCGGCCUGAGAGGGUGGACGGCCACAAGGGGACUGAGAUACGGCCCUUACUCCUACGGGAGGCAGCAGUGGGGAAUAUUGGACAAUGGGGGCAACCCUGAUCCAGCAAUUCUGUGUGCACGAUGAAGGUUUUCGGAUUGUAAAGUGCUUUCAGCAGGGAAGAAAAAAUGACGGUACCUGCAGAAGAAGCGACGGCUAAAUACGUG